AUUGAACGCUGGCGGCAUGCCUAACACAUGCAAGUCGAGCGAGCGGCGGACGGGUGAGUAAUGUCUGGGAACCUGCCUGCUGGAGGGGGAUAACUACUGGAAACGGUAGCUAAUACCGCAUACCAUCAGAUGUGCCCAGAUGGGAUUAGCUAGUAGGUGGGGUAACGGCUCACCUAGGCGACGAUCCCUAGCUGAUCUGAGAGGAUGACCAGCCACACUGGAACUGAGACACGGUCCAGACUCCUACGGGAGGCAGCAGAGGGGAAUAUGGCACAAGGGGCGCAAGCCUGAUGCAGCCAUGCCGCGGGUGUGAAGAAGGCCGUCGGGUUGUAAAGCACUUUCAGCGGGGAGGCGUUACCCGCAGAAGAAGCACCGGCUAACUCCGUGCCAGCCGCCGCGGUAAUAC
Molecule: ribosomal RNA, 406 nt
Filed under: uncultured bacterium
Lineage: Bacteria
Description: partial 16S ribosomal RNA
Rfam family: Bacterial small subunit ribosomal RNA
Source: RNAcentral